GACGAACGCUGGCGGCGUGCUUAACACAUGCAAGUCGAGCGGUAAGGCCCUUUCGGGGGUACACGAGCGGCGAACGGGUGAGUAACACGUGGGUGACCUGCCCUCAGCUCUGGGAUAAGCCUGGGAAACCGGGUCUAAUACUGGAUAUGACUCCAUGACGCAUGUUGUGGGGUGGAAAGCCUUGUGCGGCUGAGGAUGGGCCCGCGGCCCUAUCAGCUUGUUGGUGGGGUGANGGCCUACCAAGGCGACGACGGGUAGCCGGCCUGAGAGGGCGACCGGCCACACUGGGACUGAGACACGGCCCAGACUCCUACGGGAGGCAGCAGUGGGGAAUC
RNAcentral lists this ribosomal RNA (335 nucleotides) under uncultured bacterium. Its description in RNAcentral is "bacterial SSU rRNA". It matches the Rfam family "Bacterial small subunit ribosomal RNA", at positions 28 to 363 of the family's 1533-position model. The record is from RNAcentral.